RNAcentral lists this ribosomal RNA (403 nucleotides) under uncultured bacterium. Its description in RNAcentral is "partial 16S ribosomal RNA". It matches the Rfam family "Bacterial small subunit ribosomal RNA", at positions 30 to 527 of the family's 1533-position model. The record is from RNAcentral.
AUUGAACGCUGGCGGCAGGCCUAACACAUGCAAGUCGAGCGAGCGGCGGACGGGUGAGUAAUGUAUGGGGACUGCCCGCUAGAGGGGGAUAACUACUGGAAACGGUGGCUAAUACCGCAUACUAUCGGAUAACCCAUAUGGGAUUAGCUAGUAGGUGGGGUAAAGGCUCACCUAGGCGACGAUCUCUAGCUGGUCUGAGAGGAUGAUCAGCCACCCUGGGACGUAGACACGGCCCAGACUCCUACGGAGGCAGCAGUGGGGAAUAUUGCACAAUGGGCGCAAGCCUGAUGCAGCCAUGCCGCGUGUAUGAAGAAGGCCUUAGGGUUGUAAAGUACUUUCAGCGGGGAGGCGUUACCCGCAGAAGAAGCACCGGCUAACUCCGGGCCAGCCGGCGCGGUAAUUG